This 84-nucleotide ribosomal RNA is filed under the name Candidatus Nomurabacteria bacterium RIFCSPHIGHO2_01_FULL_37_25. Its description in RNAcentral is "partial 16S ribosomal RNA". It matches the Rfam family "Bacterial small subunit ribosomal RNA", at positions 239 to 322 of the family's 1533-position model. The record is from RNAcentral. Lineage: Bacteria; Candidatus Nomuraibacteriota.
UAUCAGCUAGUUGGCGGUGUAAUAGACCACCAAGGCUAUGACGUCUAGGGGAGGUGAGAGCCUGACCCCCACCGAUGGUACUGA